Daphnia magna is the source of this 372-nucleotide long non-coding RNA. RefSeq lists it as uncharacterized. The transcript has 2 exons. The record is from RefSeq and is a predicted model, not a curated record. Lineage: Eukaryota; Metazoa; Arthropoda; Branchiopoda; Diplostraca; Daphniidae.
CGUUCUGAUACACUUACUUAACACAGCGAAACCCUAUUAGCUUAUUUCUCGCGAAUUAUUACCACGAUUUUGCGAUUAUUUUGUCUACAUUAAAGAAACAAAGCAUAAAUGAUUAAAAAUUUCUAUUUAGUGAACUCAUUUAAAAUAGCUUCAGCAUCACUCAGAGGAUAACCAACAUCAAUGUUUCUUUUUACUUUAUUUGCAAGACACUUGUUGGUUUCAGACAUCAAUGCCUCUAAUAUUCCUGUCCACACAAAGCAGGAAAAGCUUCUUGUCUCAAGGGUCAUCUCAAGCAAGUCCAAAAUCAUAAACUUCCGUGAGAAGAAUUUUUUGUACUGUCUAAUCCUAUAAAUAAUAAAAAUUUAGCUAAUA